This 465-nucleotide ribosomal RNA is filed under the name uncultured bacterium. RNAcentral describes it as "partial 16S ribosomal RNA". It matches the Rfam family "Bacterial small subunit ribosomal RNA", at positions 28 to 507 of the family's 1533-position model. The record is from RNAcentral.
GACGAACGCUGGCGGCGUGCUUAACACAUGCCAGUCGAACGGAAAGGCCCUGCUUGCAGGGUACUCGAGUGGCGAACGGGUGAGUAACACGUGGGUGAUCUGCCCUGCACUUCGGGAUAAGCCUGGGAAACUGGGUCUAAUACCGGAUAGGAGCCAUUUUUAGUGUGAUGGUUGGAAAGUUUUUUCGGUGUAGGAUGAGCUCGCGGCCUAUCAGCUUGUUGGUGGGGUAAUGGCCUACCAAGGCGGCGACGGGUAGCCGGCCUGAGAGGGUGGACGGCCACAUUGGGACUGAGAGACGGCCCAGACUCCUAAGGGAGGCAGCAGUGGGGAAUAUUGCACAAGGGGCGCAAGCCUGAUGCAGCGACGCCGCGUGGGGGAUGACGGCCUUCGGGUUGUAAACUCCUUUCGCUAGGGACGAAGCUUUUUGUGACGGUACCUAGAUAAGAAGCACCGGCUAACUACGUG